Molecule: long non-coding RNA, 845 nt
Filed under: Populus tremula
Lineage: Eukaryota; Viridiplantae; Streptophyta; Magnoliopsida; Malpighiales; Salicaceae
Description: long non-coding RNA (PTRE_LNC000383)
Source: RNAcentral
UUUUUCUCCCGGGCAGCCACCAUCAGAAAAUCAAGGCAGCCGCCCCCGCCCUUGACAUUUUUGUUUUUCUUUCAACACCGGAACCAGCCCCCUUCCCCGGUUUGAAAUUUAUUUUUUUUACUCCCACAACCCCCUGAUUUUCAGCUCAAUCCCAGCCGGUUUUUCCCCCCAUCUUCUUCCCCUUCAACAAAAAUUCAAGGCCUGCACAGGGAAGCCACAAAAAUCCUCUCCCUUCUCCUUCAAAACCGAACAGCCCCCUCCCCGUUUUCAUUUUCUUUUCUUCCCCAAACCAGCACCACCCACAACACCGAUCGACCUCUCCCUUUCCCCAAGACUAGCAGCUCCAUUUUCUUUUCCAGCAACACACCGAACACUCCCCUCUUUCGGCCAUUCCUUCUUCCCAGCUCUCAUCGCCGGACACGGCGACGCCUCCUCCAACAAGCAACACGCCGGACAGAAGCCAGAGCAGUUCCCCUUCGCUGUACCAUCUCGUCGUUUGCAUCGCCAUCUUCCCCGACCUCUCCUCUCCGUCCAGCCUCCGACAGCAGCAGCGACCACCACAGCAAACCCCAGCAGCGCCGUCCACAGAUCGGCAGCCACCACCACAGACCAGCCACAACUCCGCCGUCCGAAGAUCCAGCAACCAGCAGAGGAACGAAGACAGAGGCGAGAUCGAUCUGAAGAAGGAAAAGAACCGAUCUGCUUCUGCAGAUAAAAAAGAAGCAGAUCUGUAACGGGAAGAAAAAUAAAAACUGAUUGCUGUUUGUGAGUUUUUGUUGUUGUUGCAGGUGGCGGUGAUCUUCACCGCCGGCGAGGAAAGGAAGAGGAGAAGGAGCCGCUCCAGC